GUUUGGGCUAGAUCGAACACCUGGGCAGACUCCCAUGUUACCCGGUGGGUCGGUGGAAGCACCUUGCAGUUGAUCAACCAAGACGCGCAUUGCCUCCAGUACUCCAUCAUAUUUCGCAAAGAAAGUGCUCACGCUGUGAGAGAAACUCGGAAGCAAGCUUUGUAUCCACUCCCCGUUUUAACAUCGCAGAAAAGCACGCGUUUUCAUCGAUAAAUGUUGCUUCAGUCACUGAUGACGGAGACGUUCCGAGAAAACCACAAGCUAUCCUGGAACCAGAGAUGAGGAAAGAGAGAAGCCGAGUGUACAGAGGAUGGGAUGAAAAGGGGAUCUGCCUCUCUCAAAUGAUCGACUUCACUUCCUCCACUGACACAGACAGCUCUGUGAGAGACGCAGGUGAGGGGGACAGCUGUCAUAAUAAUGUGCCCACAACAGCUGAUUUGACUACCUGAGUAAUUUAAAGCCUGUAAUACACAACCAGACCAUGGUGCACGGUCACUGCACAACCCCAGUACUGUGACAUGCCACAAUGCCAGGCUGUGUACAAGAACUGACCGAUACGGCAGGCUUUUUGCAAGGUGCCGGAACAUCAGGCAAUGUCCUCAACCGCCCUAUUUGGCAUGUCUCCCCUGACAGCGUAAUAUGUCAACCGCAUAGGAAGGAAGUGAAGAGCACCACUCUCAGUGUGCGCAAGGGUCAGCAUCGAACUCGGCUUCCCUCCACGGACGCUAUUUUCGAGCCUUGGCACACGGCGGCCGACUCCCACUGGGCAACCAGAUGAUCAAAGCCCUCUUGCGUUCGAAAGUGCCAAGAGCCACAGUCUGUGCUGCAUUGCCAGCAUUCCGCCGUCCACAAUCUCUGUCACGCCACUGCGGCGUGCGUGCAAUUUAUGCCAGUGGCCAUUCUGACCAUGGCAAUCCAACGUGGUGACAAGGCCUGAUAUCUUUACACUCUUCUUGCAAAAUAAGGCCAUUCGAUACACAUCAUAUCAUAUUCACAGAUCUUGUUCACACUUUUGAAUGUAAAUCGUUAGUAUUUUCAUUUAUU
Molecule: long non-coding RNA, 1044 nt
Organism: Alosa sapidissima (American shad)
Lineage: Eukaryota; Metazoa; Chordata; Actinopteri; Clupeiformes; Clupeidae
Exons: 3
Source: RefSeq, a predicted model, not a curated record